CUUUGUAUUGAAGGGGUUGCAGCAAAAAUCUACAUUUCCUUUUCAUCUUGCACAUAGGGAUGGCCAAUGAGAGAAGAAAGUGCUGGAACGAGCAAGGCGCAUCCCUGUAAGAUGUAGUUCGGGAAGUGGAAUGCACAUCUACAGCUGAUCAACAGGCAUCUCUCUGGAAGGAGCAGACCUUCAGUGGGUGAGGGAUGAGCAGAGCUUAAGAUCAAGCCCCAGGGACAAAGACACAGCACACCUGAAAACGUCUGAGCAAACAUUUCCUGACAAAGAGUGUGUAAAAAUCAGCAGGGAACGCGUGUGCUCCUCGAGGGCUCUCCAGGC
Long non-coding RNA from Galeopterus variegatus (Sunda flying lemur), 327 nucleotides. RefSeq lists it as uncharacterized. NCBI's taxonomy places the organism in Eukaryota, Metazoa, Chordata, Mammalia, Dermoptera, Cynocephalidae. The transcript is spliced from 3 exons. The record is from RefSeq and is a predicted model, not a curated record.